UUUGAAAUUCAAAUCUCGCCUCUCUCCUCUCUUUCUCUCUCUUUCUCUGGAGGUGAAUCGGAUGAUAAAUCACGCGAUUCCUCUUUAGAUCUGUGUUUGUUUCUUCUUCAGAUAUAUGAAAAAGUUGCAAACUCUCCCAACGAGGUGUAACCGCCAGAAAUCAUAUGGAUCUGGUGACAGCUAUGAUAGAUGUGGUGCAAUGGUGGAGCCGUUCAACAACAAUGACUAGAUUGAUGAUGUUUUAGUUCCUAUUCGCAGCUGUAUCCUCGAUAUCAGGCAAACUAGGGUUUGGUGGUCUUCCUUCUUACGCAGAGCAAUCUCCGUCUUCAAGAGGUUACUCGCAAGCUUGCUCAGAGAUGAGGAAAGGAUCCACCCGAUUUUUUUGGAUGUGACGCGACAAACAGCUAAGUGUUUGGAAGAGAGGCUUUAAAGUAUUGCUGAAACGAAAAGUUGGACCUUAAUGUGUUUAUUGCGCUGAGAAAGGGUCUUUUGAGACCCGUAGUUAGAUUGAAGAAUAUGAGUGUGAUGAAUAAUCAGUUCGUCUUGCUUAUGUUCAAUCGCUUCAUGUCGUUGGGAUUGACCUACGUAGAUUUGUAGAGGCUGAAGAGUUGUUAUAUUCAUCUAUCUCCCACAGAAAACGAUAAAAACCCCUGCACAUUCACCACACCCAUCACCAUCUUCACGGCACCCUGGUUGUGCUGAUACCGGUCUGGGAGAUUCCGGCAAACUAGGGUUUGGUAGGUGGAGAUUCCGGCCAUCUAGGGCUUAAACAAGUUCUCUCCGGCGACUGGAUGGUGAAGGCACCAAGCUUUUCAGCUUCAUAUUUUAUUAGACUACCUGUUAGUUUGUGGAGCAUGUGACCUUUUCCUCUUUUCAACUAAAGAGGAAAAUGGUUUCCUUGUGCCUUUUGAUUUUCACAAAAUGUUGAUUUGUUAUAUAUGUGAGUAGAACAAAGCACAAAGUUUAUAGACGGUCUUUAAAGGUUGUAGAUAACCAAGCGUUUAAAAUCUAAGAAAUUGUCGUUCUACAGUUCUAGAUUGUAGAUCUGUCAUCCUUGCUUAUAAAAUACACACGAAAUGUUUGGGUUCUUGAGUUCUGUAUAGUUGCUUCUUAUGUAACUCAGAGUGAGUCAACAUAAUUUGUCAUAUUUAAACAAUAGUUUCUUUGGCCAUUUUUUUUUGUUCGUCCACUAGAGAACAUUUAAGCUUCAGAAGAUCUCUCUUGCUGAUCUGCGAAGUAGAAUUCCAAUGAGGAUUCAGGUUACCGCCUUUUUCAUGCCUUCUAUCUUUCGGUUUUGAUGUUUUUAUUUUGAAUUUUGUUUACUUUCGUGAUUUAGGGUUUAACACUUUCAAUCAAUAGUGGACGUAACACAAUUUUUGUUGAGGUAAGUGAAGAUGUCUUGAAUAACCCCUUGAAAGUUCAAUAUCUUGAUUUCAUAAUCUGGUGUAUGCGUGUGUGUUUUAAAAGUUGAAUUUUCAGGUUAAGAUAUCACAAUAAAUUAUUGCUAUACUGAGUUUAAUUGGCUUUAGUGUUGCUAAAUUAAAACAUAGACAAUCAAAUAUACUACUUUUGCUAAUUUAAGGAAAUAGUUUAUUAACAGAAGUGAAAAUGUUUUGGCUAUGCACAGAUUAAAACAAACCAGGUUGCUAUAAUUAUUGCUUGAGCGCUCGAAUUGUUAUAAUUAUUGCUUGAGCGCUCGAAUUGUUACAUCGUCGUUUUAUGAUUAAAGUAACUAUACUAAUGGGUUGGUUUGGACAAUUAUUUGUAUCAAGUUUGUUACUGGUAACUGUUUUUUAGUGUUUAUUAGAAGCCCUGAGGACUGAAGGCGGAUCUGUAGUUCUGCACACGACGGCUUGUUACUGUAAUGGUUAAGAACUGGCGUCUUUUUUUAAUGAUUGUUGAGCUUCAUGGUGUCCUGGUGGCUAUGAAGAUCCUACAAUAGUGACCGGAAUUGGAACAAUCGAUGGUGGGCGAUAUGUGUUGUGGUCAUCAAAAUGGUCGAUGCCUUACUUUUUAGAUCGUCACCAAGAUCAUUAUUCUGAUUUCAUUACAACAGCUGCCCAUCCUGCAUUUGAUGUUGUCAAUAAAGGUGCUCGACCAACUGUCCCGCAUGACUGCCUUCCAGAGUUCCAGUUGUGAGACAUGAAUUCAGAUGUCAGACCACCCUUUACCGAGGUGGUCUGAAUGCCCAUGGUGCACAAAGCUUGGUUCAGGUGCUGCAUGAUUCAGCCCAUGACUACUGAUUGAUGUGUGCGUGGAAAAAUAUAAGUCUAGAAAUGAAACAAGAAAAGAGAAACAAUAGCGGAAAAGUCACGCGUAUAUACCAUUAUGGUAACUUCUUUCAUCAGAUUGUGUGAAAAGAGGAAGAAAAUUGUGACAUGAUAUGAAUUGCAAGUAUAACAAUGUUUGCCUGUUUAAAUAUAAUAUACCAAUGAGGCUUGACUUUUGUAAAUAGCAGCUUGAAGUUAGUAGUGAUGGUGGUGUCAAAAGAUAUACACACACAUAUUUGUUUUUGGAACCAUCUGCAAUUAAUUUGGUAAAUUUGUAAUAGAGUUACAUAUCUGAACGCAUACAAAGAGGAAGAUAAUAAACUACUAUGUGUGUUAGGAACAACUCUUUUUCUGUAAUAAGAAUAUUUGGAUUACUCUUC
RNAcentral lists this long non-coding RNA (2650 nucleotides) under Helianthus annuus (common sunflower). Its description in RNAcentral is "hypothetical non coding rna". The record is from RNAcentral. Lineage: Eukaryota; Viridiplantae; Streptophyta; Magnoliopsida; Asterales; Asteraceae.